UGGGGAAUCUUGGACAAUGGGCGCAAGCCUGAUCCAGCCAUGCCGCGUGGAUGAUGAAGGCCUUAGGGUUGUAAAAUCCUUUCAACGGGGACGAUAAUGACGGUACCCGUAGAAGAAGCCCCGGCUAACUUCGUGCCAGCAGCCGCGGUAAUACGAAGGGGGCUAGCGUUGCUCGGAAUUACUGGGCGUAAAGCGCACGUAGGCGGAUAUUUAAGUCGGGGGUGAAAUCCCAGAGCUCAACUCUGGAACUGCCUUCGAUACUGGGUAUCUGGACCAAAGUAGAGGUAAGUGGAAUUCCAAGUGUAGAGGUGAAAUUCGUAGAUAUUUGGAGGAACACCAGUGGCGAAGGCGACUUACUGGACUUUUGGUGACGCUGAGGUGCGAAAGCGUGGGGAGCAAACAGG
Molecule: ribosomal RNA, 404 nt
Filed under: uncultured Hyphomonadaceae bacterium
Lineage: Bacteria; Pseudomonadati; Pseudomonadota; Alphaproteobacteria; Hyphomonadales; Hyphomonadaceae
Description: bacterial SSU rRNA
Rfam family: Bacterial small subunit ribosomal RNA
Source: RNAcentral